GCCGUCCUCAGCUGAGCCGCGGUCCACCGCCGAACUUAUGGCUGCUCGCGGACAUCUUCCACCGGCAUUUGAGGGCCGAUCUAUCCAAGCCCCUGGAAUGCUGCGUCACGGCCCUUUUCCUGCACCUGGCCCUGCAGGUCAUCACCCGAUGGAGCCCUUACCUCCUCUUGAGUUCCUUGAAAAGAAGAUAGCAGGUCAGGCAGGUGAGAUGGAUCGG
RNAcentral lists this unclassified non-coding RNA (217 nucleotides) under Hevea brasiliensis (rubber tree). Lineage: Eukaryota; Viridiplantae; Streptophyta; Magnoliopsida; Malpighiales; Euphorbiaceae. The record is from RNAcentral.